This is a non-coding RNA of Ameiurus melas (black bullhead), 73 nucleotides long. Lineage: Eukaryota; Metazoa; Chordata; Actinopteri; Siluriformes; Ictaluridae. The record is from the annotation of a GenBank genome assembly.
GACAAGGUGGCUUAGUGGUUAGAAUAUUUGAAUUGCACCUCCAGGGUUGCGGGUUCGAUUCCUGCCUCUGCCC